Molecule: unclassified non-coding RNA, 337 nt
Filed under: soil metagenome
Description: partial contains 5.8S ribosomal RNA, internal transcribed spacer 2, and large subunit ribosomal RNA
Rfam family: 5.8S ribosomal RNA (bases 1-120)
Source: RNAcentral
GAUGAAGAACGUAGCGAAAUGCGAUAAGUAAUGUGAAUUGCAGAAUUCAGUGAAUCAUCGAAUCUUUGAACGCACAUUGCGCCCGCCAGUAUUCUGGCGGGCAUGCCUGUUCGAGCGUCAUUUCAACCAUCAAGCCCCCCGGCUUGUGUUGGGGACCUGCGGCUGCCGCAGGCCCUGAAAAGCAGUGGCGGGCUCGCUGUCACACCGAGCGUAGUAGAUCUCAUCUCGCUCAGGGCGUGCUGCGGGUUCCGGCCGUUAAACCACCUUCAUAACCCAAGGUUGACCUCGGAUCAGGUAGGAAGACCCGCUGAACUUAAGCAUAUCAAUAAGCGGAAGA